UACAGAGGUCUCAAGCGUUGUUCGGAUUCAUUGGGCGUAAAGGGUGCGUAGGCGGCGCGGUAAGUCGGGUGUGAAAUCUCGGGGCUUAACUCCGAAACUGCAUUCGAUACUGCCGUGCUUGAGGACUGGAGAGGAGACUGGAAUUUACGGUGUAGCGGUGAAAUGCGUAGAUAUCGUAAGGAAGACCAGUGACGAAGGCGGCUCUCUGGGACGGUACUGACGCUGAGACGCGAAAGCGUGGGGAGCGAACAGG
RNAcentral lists this ribosomal RNA (253 nucleotides) under uncultured bacterium. RNAcentral's name for it is "partial 16S ribosomal RNA". It matches the Rfam family "Bacterial small subunit ribosomal RNA", at positions 524 to 776 of the family's 1533-position model. The record is from RNAcentral.